RNAcentral lists this ribosomal RNA (496 nucleotides) under uncultured bacterium. Its description in RNAcentral is "partial 16S ribosomal RNA". It matches the Rfam family "Bacterial small subunit ribosomal RNA", at positions 28 to 506 of the family's 1533-position model. The record is from RNAcentral.
GAUGAACGCUGGCGGCGUGCCUAAUACAUGCAAGUCGAGCGAACAGAUGAGGAGCUUGCUCCUCUGACGUUAGCGGCGGACGGGUGAGUAACACGUGGAUAACCUACCUAUAAGACUGGGAUAACUUCGGGAAACCGGAGCUAAUACCGGAUAAUAUAUUGAACCGCAUGGUUCAAUAGUGAAAGACGGUUUUGCUGUCACUUAUAGAUGGAUCCGCGCCGCACUAGCUAGUUGGUAAGGUAACGGCUUACCAAGGCAACGAUGCGUAGCCGACCUGAGAGGGUGAUCGGCCACACUGGAACUGAGACACGGUCCAGACUCCUACGGGAGGCAGCAGUAGGGAAUCUUCCGCAAUGGGCGAAAGCCUGACGGAGCAACGCCGCGUGAGUGAUGAAGGUCUUCGGAUCGUAAAACUCUGUUAUUAGGGAAGAACAAAUGUGUAAGUAACUAUGCACGUCUUGACGGUACCUAAUCAGAAAGCCACGGCUAACUACGU